AAUUCUCAACUGCCUUUUAGCAUUUAUGUUAAGGUGAAGUUGGAGUUGGAGGAUAAUUGCUGAUGCAACUUGGGUUGCUUGUUGGCUCCUCUUAAAUAGAUAAGCUUUUCUGAUAGAUCAUAGCUUAAUAACACUAAUGUGAUAAUUAUUUACGUUAGAUGUAAAAGCUGUGAGGUAGAGUGACUUUAAUUUAUAGAGAAGCUCCUAUAGAAAGGGUGUGUCUUGGGUUAAUCCAAACCCUUGACUUGAAAAUAUAAUAACAAAU
This 265-nucleotide unclassified non-coding RNA is filed under the name uncultured Thelephoraceae. Its description in RNAcentral is "sequence contains ITS2". The record is from RNAcentral. Lineage: Eukaryota; Fungi; Basidiomycota; Agaricomycetes; Thelephorales; Thelephoraceae.